Molecule: long non-coding RNA, 1397 nt
Organism: Dreissena polymorpha
Lineage: Eukaryota; Metazoa; Mollusca; Bivalvia; Myida; Dreissenidae
Exons: 3
Source: RefSeq, a predicted model, not a curated record
GUAGUAGUAGAAGUAGUAGUAGUAGUAGUAGUAGUAGUAGUAGUAGUAGUAGUGGUAGUAGUAGUAGUAGUAGUAGUAGUAGAAGUAGAAGUAGCAGUAGUAGUAGUAGUAGUAGAAGUAGUAGUAGUAGUAGUAGUAGUAGUAGUAGUAGUAGUAGUAGUAGUAGUAGUAGUUGUUGUUGUUGUUGUUGUGGCUGUUGUAAUAGUAGUAGUAGUUUUGCAGAAGUAGUAGUAGUAGUAGUAGUAGUACUAGUAGUAGUAAUAUUGGUAGUAGAAGUAAUAGUAGUAACUUUCAAAGCAAUGUCUACAAGUUUAAAUUCCUUAACCCUGUUCAAGGUGUAUACACACUCAAUAUUUAACUACAGUCCAGGUUUGCAAUUAACAAACUAUCUGAGGUGCCUGUGUGUGAGUCAGAUAUGUCUGCGGCUAAUCUAUUGGUUAUAAAAUAUCACAGCCUUUUCUGAUUGGCGGAGUUCAAAUACAGAAAGUUUACCUGUUAGAUUGAAAUUCUGGAGUAGGCGUAUUGUAUGCAGGUUAAACUUGUUGUUAAAAUGAAGUUUAUGUAAUUUCACAAACAGUAGAGUUAAUGAGUUUUUCCAUUAACAAGAAUUUCUUAAAAUAAUAAUGUAUGGAUAUCAUUUGGAAAGUGACAUGAAAUGUUGUUAAAAAGUGAUGCAUACAAGUGUUUCAGAAGUCUGUCUAGGAAUAGAACAACAACUAAAGCUGACCAGUUGAUGGAAGAUACUGCAGAGUUUGGCAGGGAAAUAACCCAAGACAGCAAAGCGGCUCUUUUGGCGCAUUUACCAAGAGGACUAACAUGGCCACAAAUUCAUGAGAUCAUGCAGGAGCCGUACAGUAUAACAGCAGUACAAGUUCUAUAAAAGAUCCACGACCUACUGAAGCCCAGCUAAUUAACAAAAAAGUUUUUAAAAACUGUAAUUUUAUCCCACCUGGGUACUUAUAAUUUACUAAGCUGUCUACGCAAGUUUUAGACUUGCAAUUAUAUUUUAAAUUGUCACUUAAUGGAAAGUAAAACAUGUACAUGCAUUAUGUUCUGAAUUUCUUUGAACAAUAAAACUAUAUAAAAGUAUUUUAAUGAAAUUAAGCACCUAAAUUGCAUUAAGUGAAAGUAGCUGAGAACAAGAUGUGUUUGUGAAACACAAUGUCCCCCUAUAUGACGUUUGACCUUGAAGGAUGACCUUGACCUUGACCCUUCACCACUCAAAAUGUGCAGCACCAUAAGUUACACAUGCAUGCCAAAUAUCAAGUUGCUAUCUUCAAUAUUGCAAAAGUUUUCAUAAAAUAAGCGAUUUGGGCCACAUAUAUUUGACCUCUGACCUUGAAGGAUGACCUUGAUCUUUCACCACUCAAAAUGUGCAGCUCCAUAAGUUACACAUG